AGCGAACGCUGGCGGCAGGCCUAACACAUGCAAGUCGAACGAACUCUUCGGAGUUAGUGGCGGACGGGUGAGUAACACGUGGGAACGUGCCUUUAGGUUCGGAAUAACUCAGGGAAACUUGUGCUAAUACCGAAUGUGCUCUUCGGGGGAAAGAUUUAUCGCCUUUAGAGCGGCCCGCGUCUGAUUAGCUUGUUGGUGAGGUAAAGGCUCACCAAGGCGACGAUCAGUAGCUGGUCUGAGAGGAUGAUCAGCCACAUUGGGACUGAGACACGGCCCAAACUCCUACGGGAGGCAGCAGUGGGGAAUCUAGCGCAAUGGGCGAAAGCCUGACGCAGCCAUGCCGCGUGAAUGAUGAAGGUCUUAGGAUUGUAAAAUUCUUUCACCGGGGACGAUAAUGACGGUACCAGGAGAAGAAGCCCCGGCUAACUUCGUG
RNAcentral lists this ribosomal RNA (433 nucleotides) under uncultured bacterium. Its description in RNAcentral is "partial 16S ribosomal RNA". It matches the Rfam family "Bacterial small subunit ribosomal RNA", at positions 29 to 507 of the family's 1533-position model. The record is from RNAcentral.